Molecule: ribosomal RNA, 305 nt
Filed under: uncultured bacterium
Lineage: Bacteria
Description: bacterial SSU rRNA
Rfam family: Bacterial small subunit ribosomal RNA
Source: RNAcentral
CCCUACGGGAGGCAGCAGUAGGGAAUCUUCCACAAUGGGCGCAAGCCUGAUGGAGCAACACCGCGUGAGUGAAGAAGGGUUUCGGCUCGUAAAGCUCUGUUGUUGGAGAAGAACGUGCGUGAGAGUAACUGUUCACGCAGUGACGGUAUCCAACCAGAAAGUCACGGCUAACUCCGUGCCAGCAGCCGCAGUAAUACGGAGGAUGCGAGCGUUAUCCGGAUUUAUUGGGCGUAAAGGGAACGCAGGCGGUCUUUUAAGUCUGAUGUGAAAGCCUUCGGCUUAACCGGAGUAGGGCAUUGGAAACU